CUGGUCGUCGGUCUUUAAGGCGAUGGACUAGAAAUCCAUUGGGGUGUCCCCGCACAGGUUCGAAUCCUGUCGACUGCG
This is a non-coding RNA of Ixodes scapularis (black-legged tick), 78 nucleotides long. The record is from Rfam. Lineage: Eukaryota; Metazoa; Arthropoda; Arachnida; Ixodida; Ixodidae.